GCAGAAUUCUAGCUAAAGAUAAGAAGGGCAUCGCUUCAAAUGGGAGGCCAAUCAAUGCAGCAUUAGGAAGGCUUCAUUCAGCUCAGCACCACCUUGGUGAAGAUCCCGGUGUUACACAUCCAAUCGUUCACCUCCUUCCAAGACUAUGACAUUCCAGGAAACCUUCACUGCUAAGAGGAACUAAGAUCUAGAGUAUCUCCUCGAGGAAGUACAACUGGAUUCUCCCUCCUUGGUUCUUCCCUGGACCAAGGACAGAAGAAUCAUUCAACACAGAGGCUAUUGACAAAAGGGGCAUAUUUGGUGCAAACAGGGGUAAUUAAUAAGAAGUCCAGUGGCUCACACCUGCGAUCCCAGCACUUUGGGAGGCUGAGAUGGGCAGAUUGCUCGAGCCCAGGAAUUCAAGACCAACCUGGGCAACAUGGCAAAACCCCAUCUCUACAAAAAUACAAAAAUUAACCAGAUGUGAUGGUUCAUGCCUGUAGUCCCAGCUACUCUGGAGGCUGAUGUGGGAGGAUCGCUUGAGCCUAGGAAGUCAAGGCUGCAGUGAGUCAUGAUUGCUCCGCUCCACUGCACUCUGGCCUUGAUGAUAGAGUGAGAACCAGUCUCAAAAAAAAAAAGGUCAUUUUCUAAGCAUUUGUUGAUUCAAUACUGCCCACUAUGUACACUGACAAUUAGACAUAAUUUAAUUUCAGCUCAUGGUAUGAAUGGAGACAAAAUGAAAUCAUUUUAAUGCACAUUAAGGCAAUAUAGUGCCCUUAAAUAAAAAGUUGAAGUUCAUAAGGGACCAUCAUUAAGAUUUAACUUUGUAACAAAUAUUUUGUUUUUGUUUGUUUUAUUUUUAGAUUUGCAUAAUAAAACAUUCAUAUUCU
This 869-nucleotide long non-coding RNA is filed under the name Homo sapiens (human). RNAcentral's name for it is "HSALNT0365391". Lineage: Eukaryota; Metazoa; Chordata; Mammalia; Primates; Hominidae. The record is from RNAcentral.